Molecule: long non-coding RNA, 636 nt
Filed under: Callithrix jacchus (white-tufted-ear marmoset)
Lineage: Eukaryota; Metazoa; Chordata; Mammalia; Primates; Cebidae
Description: lncRNA (ENSCJAG00000073458.1)
Source: RNAcentral
UCCUACUCACCCAUAGCCAAGGCAUGGAGACCUCAACACACCUGGGCCCUAGACAUCACCUUUCAUUAUGAAGUUUCACUCUUGUUUCCUAGGCUGGAGUGCAACGGCACAAUCUCUGCUGACUGCAACCUCCUUCUCUUGCAUUCAAGCCAUCCUCUUGCCUCAGUGUGCAGAAUAGCUGGAAUUACAGGCAUGUGCCACCAUACCUGGCUCAGUAUUUUCAAUAGAGACAGGGUUUCUCCAUGUUUGUCAGGCUGGUCUCGAACUCCGUAUUUCAAGUGAUCCAACUGACUCAGCCUCCCAAAAUGCUGGGAUUACAGGUGUGAGCUACCGUGCCCAGCUAGCUUUCUUUUUUGCUCCUUCUAUUUUUGCGGGGGAGACCAAGUCUCACUCUGUAGCCCAGGCUUGAGUAUGGUGGUACAGUCUCGACUCACUGCAGCCUUGACCUCCUGGGCUCAGGUGAUCCUUCCACCUCAGUAACUGGGACUAUAGGCACAUGCGACCUUGUCUGGCUAAUUAUUUUUGAUUUUCAAUAGAGACGAGGUCUUGCCAUGUUUCCCAGUCUGGUCUGGAAUUCCUGGCCUCAAGCAAUUCUCCCACUGCCCCCUCCCAAAGUGCUGCUAUUAUAAGCGUCAG